GGUUUGGCACCUCGAUGUCGGCUCAUCGCAUCCUGGGGCUGUAGUCGGUCCCAAGGGUUGGGCUGUUCGCCCAUUAAAGCGGUACGCGAGCUGGGUUCAGAACGUCGUGAGACAGUUCGGUCCCUAUCCGUCGCGGGCGCAGGAAAUUUGAGAGGAGCUGUCCUUAGUACGAGAGGACCGGGAUGGACGCACCGCUGGUGUACCAGUUGUUCUGCCAAGGGCAUCGCUGGGUAGCUAUGUGCGGACGGGAUAAGUGCUGAAAGCAUCUAAGCAUGAAGCCCCCCUCAAGAUGAGAUUUCCCAUUCCGCAAGGAAGUAAGAUCCCUGAAAGAUGAUCAGGUUGAUAGGUCUGAGGUGGAAGUGUGGCGACACAUGGAGCUGACAGAUACUAAUCGAUCGAGGACUUAACCACAUUU
RNAcentral lists this ribosomal RNA (415 nucleotides) under Bacillus subtilis. RNAcentral's name for it is "bacterial LSU rRNA". It matches the Rfam family "Bacterial large subunit ribosomal RNA", at positions 2515 to 2925 of the family's 2925-position model. Lineage: Bacteria; Bacillati; Bacillota; Bacilli; Caryophanales; Bacillaceae. The record is from RNAcentral.